GACGAACGUUGGCGGCGUGCUUAACACAUGCAAGUCGAACGGAAAGGCCCUGCUUUUGUGGGGUGCUCGAGUGGCGAACGGGUGAGUAACACGUGAGUAACCUGCCCUUGACUUUGGGAUAACUUCAGGAAACUGGGGCUAAUACCGGAUAGGAGCUCCUGCUGCAUGGUGGGGGUUGGAAAGUUUCGGCGGUUGGGGAUGGACUCGCGGCUUAUCAGCUUGUUGGUGGGGUAGUGGCUUACCAAGGCUUUGACGGGUAGCCGGCCUGAGAGGGUGACCGGCCACAUUGGGACUGAGAUACGGCCCAGACUCCUACGGGAGGCAGCAGUGGGGAAUAUUGCACAAUGGGCGGAAGCCUGAUGCAGCAACGCCGCGUGCGGGAUGACGGCCUUCGGGUUGUAAACCGCUUUCGCCUGUGACGAAGCGUGAGUGACGGUAAUGGGUAAAGAAGCACCGGCUAACUACGUGCCAGCAGCCGCGGUGAUACGUAGGGUGCGAGCGUUGUCCGGAUUUAUUGGGCGUAAAGGGCUCGUAGGUGGUUGAUCGCGUCGGAAGUGUAAUCUUGGGGCUUAACCCCUGAGCGUGCUUUCGAUACGGGUUGACUUGAGGAAGGUAGGGGAGAAUGGAAUUCCUGGUGGAGCGGUGGAAUGCGCAGAUAUCAGGAGGAACACCAGUGGCGAAGGCGGUUCUCUGGGCCUUUCCUGACGCUGAGGAGCGAAAGCGUGGGGAGCGAACAGGCUUAGAUACCCUGGUAGUCCACGCUGUAAACGGUGGGUACUAGGUGUGGGGUCCAUUCCACGGGUUCCGUGCCGUAGCUAACGCUUUAAGUACCCCGCCUGGGGAGUACGGCCGCAAGGCUAAAACUCAAAGGAAUUGACGGGGCCCCGCACAAGCGGCGGAGCAUGCGGAUUAAUUCGAUGCAACGCGUAGAACCUUACCUGGGUUUGACAUGGAUCGGGAGUGCUCAGAGAUGGGUGUGCCUCUUUUGGGGUCGGUUCACAGGUGGUGCAUGCCUGUCGUCAGCUCGUGUCGUGAGAUGUUGGGUUAAGUCCCGCAACGAGCGCAACCCUUGUUCACUGUUGCCAGCACGUUAUGGUGGGGACUCAGUGGAGACCGCCGGGGUCAACUCGGAGGAAGGUGGGGAUGACGUCAAGUCAUCAUGCCCCUUAUGUCCAGGGCUUCACGCAUGCUACAAUGGCUGGUACAGAGAGUGGCGAGCCUGUGAGGGUGAGCGAAUCUCGGAAAGCCGGUCUCAGUUCGGAUUGGGGUCUGCAACUCGACCUCAUGAAGUCGGAGUCGCUAGUAAUCGCAGAUCAGCAACGCUGCGGUGAAUACGUUCCCGGG
RNAcentral lists this ribosomal RNA (1344 nucleotides) under uncultured bacterium. RNAcentral describes it as "16S ribosomal RNA". It matches the Rfam family "Bacterial small subunit ribosomal RNA", at positions 28 to 1378 of the family's 1533-position model. The record is from RNAcentral.